Molecule: long non-coding RNA, 334 nt
Filed under: Triticum aestivum (bread wheat)
Lineage: Eukaryota; Viridiplantae; Streptophyta; Magnoliopsida; Poales; Poaceae
Description: long non-coding RNA (TAES_LNC011000)
Source: RNAcentral
CGGCUGUGGCGGUGGUGAAGUAACCCCGGCGCCUCGGCAGGUGAGGCGAAGGGGGGUGGGAGCUCUGGCGCCGGCGACGCGUGCGCCGCGAGGCGGGCGGUGAACAGUGGACUAAUUAUUUGGUCGGCGUCGUGGAUCUGGACCUGAAAGAGGAUGGAUCGACCGAGGUGAGCGCAAUGGCCGCUGCAACGAACGAGCUACGGGUCGACCCCGUGCCGGCGGCUUCAUACAAGGAGAUGGAAGCAGGGCAAGGGGUGGUUGUACAUGGACCUAGGUCGCACACGAUGGAUCUGCGGCACCGCAGUGGCGGAUUAAGGAGACCCUGGCGGCUUGG